RNAcentral lists this RNase P RNA (399 nucleotides) under Planctomycetaceae bacterium. Its description in RNAcentral is "RNase P RNA component class A". It matches the Rfam family "Bacterial RNase P class A". From Rfam's summary of the family: Ribonuclease P (RNase P) is a ubiquitous endoribonuclease, found in archaea, bacteria and eukarya as well as chloroplasts and mitochondria. Its best characterised activity is the generation of mature 5'-ends of tRNAs by cleaving the 5'-leader elements of precursor-tRNAs. Cellular RNase Ps are ribonucleoproteins. Lineage: Bacteria; Pseudomonadati; Planctomycetota; Planctomycetia; Planctomycetales; Planctomycetaceae. The record is from RNAcentral.
ACAGAGGGACAGGCGUUCGCUGAGUCGCAAGGCUUAGAGGAAAGUCCGGGCUCCACAGGACACGAUGGUGGGUAACGCCCACCGUCCGUGAGGAUCGGGCAAGUGCAACAGAAAGUAAACCGCCGAACGUCGAAGUUACUCCUCGGAGUUCGCUUCGAGAAGGCUGCGACGUGGUAAGGGUGAAACGGUGCGGUAGGUGACUCGAUCGGCUGGGUAAACCCCAUCCGGUGCAAGACCAAACAGGGAGGAGAGGCUGUUCGUCUCGUUUGACUUCCGGGUAGGUCGCUUGAGGCAACGGGCAACCGUUGUCCCAGAUAAAUGGCAGCCAUCGUCAACAUGAAUAUGCCCAAGUGGCGCGUGUUGGCGGUACAGAACCCGGCUUACAAGCCCACUCACGCC